GAUGAACGCUAGCUACAGGCUUAACACAUGCAAGUCGAGGGGAAACGACAUCGAAAGCUUGCUUUUGAUGGGCGUCGACCGGCGCGCGGGUGAGUAACGCGUAUCCAACCUGCCCACCACUUGGGGAUAACCUUGCGAAAGUAAGACUAAUACCCAAUGAUAUCCCACGAAGACAUCUGAAUGGGAUUAAAGAUUUAUCGGUGAUGGAUGGGGAUGCGUCUGAUUAGCUUGUUGGCGGGGUAACGGCCCACCAAGGCAACGAUCAGUAGGGGUUCUGAGAGGAAGGUCCCCCACAUUGGAACUGAGACACGGUCCAAACUCCUACGGGAGGCAGCAGUGAGGAAUAUUGGUCAAUGGGCGAGAGCCUGAACCAGCCAAGUAGCGUGCAGGAAGACGGCCCUAUGGGUUGUAAACUGCUUUUAUAAGGGAAUAAAGUGGGUCACGUGUGACUUUUUGCAUGUACCUUAUGAAUAAGGACCGGCUAAUUCCGUG
RNAcentral lists this ribosomal RNA (492 nucleotides) under uncultured bacterium. Its description in RNAcentral is "partial 16S ribosomal RNA". It matches the Rfam family "Bacterial small subunit ribosomal RNA", at positions 28 to 507 of the family's 1533-position model. The record is from RNAcentral.